UACGAAGGGUGCUAGCGUUGUUCGGAAUCACUGGGCGUAAAGCGCGCGUAGGCGGCUUUUCAAGUCAGAGGUGAAAGCCUGGAGCUCAACUCCAGAAUUGCCUUUGAAACUGGGAAGCUAGAGUGUCGGAGGGGAUAGCGGAAUUCCUAAUGUAGAGGUGAAAUUCGUAGAUAUUAGGAGGAACACCGGUGGCGAAGGCGGCUAUCUGGACGACAACUGACGCUGAGGCGCGAAAGCGUGGGGAGCAAACAGG
This 253-nucleotide ribosomal RNA is filed under the name uncultured bacterium. RNAcentral describes it as "partial 16S ribosomal RNA". It matches the Rfam family "Bacterial small subunit ribosomal RNA", at positions 524 to 776 of the family's 1533-position model. The record is from RNAcentral.